AUUGAACGCUGGCGGCAGGCCUAACACAUGCAAGUCGAAUGGUAACACGAUACAGCUUUCCGUUUCCCUGUGGCGUGGCGGGCGGGUGUGUAGUGUCUGGGGAACUGUCUGAUUGCGUGGGGUAACUACUAGGAAAGGUAGCUAAUACCGCACAACGUCGCAACACCAAAAAGCGGGGCCUCUUGGCACCUUGCGCUCAGGUGUGCCCCGAUGGGGGAUUAGCUAGUUGGGGGGGUAAAGGCUCACCAAGGCGACGAUCCCUAGCUGGUCUGAGAGGAUGAUCAGCCACACUGGAACUGAGACACGGUCCAGACUCCUACGGGAGGCAGCAGUGGGGAAUAUUGGACAAUGGGCGCAAGCCUGAUGCAGCCAUGCCGCGUGUAUGAAGAAGGCCUUCGGGUUGUAAAGUCCUUUUGGCGGGGAAGAAAGGAGGAAAGUUAAUACCUUGGCUCAUUGACGUUACCCGAAGAAGAAGCACCGGCUAACUCCGUG
This 492-nucleotide ribosomal RNA is filed under the name uncultured bacterium. Its description in RNAcentral is "partial 16S ribosomal RNA". It matches the Rfam family "Bacterial small subunit ribosomal RNA", at positions 30 to 507 of the family's 1533-position model. The record is from RNAcentral.